AGCCUACAGGCGCGGGGAGUGAAGAUUUUAGAGGAGGGGCCGCCAUAUUGUCUGGCGAUACUAGUACUACUCCCUAGUGGUAGAAUAAUAAAAUUGCUGUAUUUACAUGUGUCGAAAAUGACAGUGUGUAACAGUUUUCGAAAAUUUCAAGAUAUUCAAUAUAAAAUAAAAAUGCCGCUUUGUGUAGCAAUCAAUUGUAACAAUAAAAGUUACCGAAAAGCGAAAAAUCAGGUGCAUCUAGAGAAAAAUAACAACAUAACAUUUCACCGAUUUCCAAAAGAUAAAGCCAAAAAAUAGACUUGGAUUAAAGCUAUGGGUCUUCAUGUGGAAUCUUUAUCCAAGUCCCCACAUUUAUGCUCAUUGCACUUUUCAGAGAGCGAUUUUGAUCGUAGCUCUUUGAUGCGAACAAGGUUACAAGAAAGUGCCAUUCCAUUCCCAAAUAUAU
Vollenhovia emeryi is the source of this 445-nucleotide long non-coding RNA. RefSeq lists it as uncharacterized. The transcript is spliced from 3 exons. Lineage: Eukaryota; Metazoa; Arthropoda; Insecta; Hymenoptera; Formicidae. The record is from RefSeq and is a predicted model, not a curated record.